Non-coding RNA from Pimephales promelas (fathead minnow), 256 nucleotides. The record is from RefSeq and is a predicted model, not a curated record. Lineage: Eukaryota; Metazoa; Chordata; Actinopteri; Cypriniformes; Leuciscidae.
AGAGGCUCAUAAUGCUGAAUGCUGUCAUCAAAGGAUUUGAAGCUUUUGUGGUGGAGCAGGACCUGCAAGGAAAGAUGAUGGCAGCGUUUGUUGGGGAAAAAAAGGUUUUAGGGAUUUUACUCAAAUAUAAAGAUCUGAAAUGUCUGCAGACUGGUGUGAGCACUGAGGAUGAGGAGCCCAGAGCUGAAUCCUGGAAGUGGUGCCAUGGAUGAGUCCCUCCAUUUCUCCAUCUGCCCUUAUUGCUUCAGACUGUGAA